CCUCUUCGAUCUGCUGCGGGCAGAUGAAGUGGAUGUGGCUGUCGAUGCCGCCGGCGGUGACGAUAUGGCCCUCGCAGCUGAUGACCUCGGUGCCGGGGCCGAUGACGAUGUCCACGCCGGGUUGCGUGUCGGGGUUGCCCGCCUUGCCUAUUGAAGCGAUGCGCCCGCUACGCAGGCCGAUGUCGGCCUUGAAGAUGCCGGUGUGGUCGAUGACCAGGGCAUUGGUCAGCACCGUGUCCACGGCCCCUUCGGUGCGCGUGCGCUGGCUUUGCGCCAUGCCGUCGCGGAUG
Molecule: non-coding RNA, 290 nt
Organism: Burkholderiales bacterium
Lineage: Bacteria; Pseudomonadati; Pseudomonadota; Betaproteobacteria; Burkholderiales
Source: Rfam